UCGGGAUAGCUCAGUUGGUAGAGCAGAGGACUGAAAAUCCUCGUGUCCCCAGUUUCAAAAAGUAA
Molecule: transfer RNA, 65 nt
Filed under: Aletris pauciflora var. khasiana
Lineage: Eukaryota; Viridiplantae; Streptophyta; Magnoliopsida; Dioscoreales; Nartheciaceae
Description: partial tRNA-Phe
Source: RNAcentral